UUGAAGUUCUUCUGCAGCUCACCAGUAGAGGGCAGAAGAGGGACUCAUAUGUGAGUCUGGAUAUAAGUGGGCAUUUCAGCGUGUGUCCCUACUCAGUAAAGCCACUUACAUCAGUUGAAUUCUACCCAUUUUGUUUGGUUUAAGUGACUCAAUUCCUUCUAACUUCACUGAGCUACACAUGUAUCUCAGGGAUCUGCAGGAGUUCAAUGAACAAGACGAUGCUUCAUGUGUCCUGGGGUCAUCUGAUAGGAAGGAGGCUCUUCCGCCUGCACCUGAUGUCUGAGGACGAAAACAAGUUAAGACAAAGACCGGACGAAGGAAGAACGAGGAAGAAUAGCGGGCGAUUGUUGUCCAAACGGGGUGAGUCAAAAAAACAGAGGAAUUCCUGGCUGUGCUGUAGAAACAACGCAGGCACCGCUUUGCCUCAUUGAUUACUUGAGGGAAAAGUGUGAAGGAAGCAAAGGAUCAUUCUGAGAAAACAUCUCUGCUCGGCCUUUCCUUUGCAUCUGGAGUUCAGUCUUGCAGAAUGAUGGAUGAGGAACUUGCACUGUGGCCUCCAAUGUCCUCUCCUCUUCCUCUCUCCUUAUCCUCCACCUCUUGCUUCUCCAAACACACACACAUACACACACACACUCAGACACAGUGUUAGCAAGUGAUGGAUGGGGAGCUGGCAGUGUGGCAGUAAGAGCAGACAUCCAGAACUACACUGCCACUUAUUCAUUUGUCGUCGUAUUCACAUCUUUAUUUAUACAUCUUCCUCCAUAAAAACAUCUAAAUAUAGAUGUUUCUGCCUUUUCACACACAUUAUGAAAGUAUAGAAAAG
Long non-coding RNA from Notolabrus celidotus (New Zealand spotty), 823 nucleotides. RefSeq lists it as uncharacterized. The transcript has 3 exons. The record is from RefSeq and is a predicted model, not a curated record. NCBI's taxonomy places the organism in Eukaryota, Metazoa, Chordata, Actinopteri, Labriformes, Labridae.